This is a long non-coding RNA of Panicum hallii, 998 nucleotides long. RefSeq lists it as uncharacterized. NCBI's taxonomy places the organism in Eukaryota, Viridiplantae, Streptophyta, Magnoliopsida, Poales, Poaceae. The record is from RefSeq and is a predicted model, not a curated record. The transcript has 3 exons.
CUGACACCCUGUGGUCACCAGGUGAAAACUUUGUGGUUUUCUCAAUGCAUGGUCUGUGCCUGUGGAGCACAUGCUAUCUGCUUCCCUUCAAAAGAUGAAAAGUAUAUUACCACUGAUCAUUAUAUUGCUUUAAAUUUUCUGCCCCUGGUAAUCUGUUCUAUGCAUUCUGAUCUUCAUGUUUUAAACGAUGAUUAUAUUUGCUUAAUUCCGUCCUUCCCAGAAGGAUUAGCAAUUUGUGCUUCAUGGUGCUGGAGUUUUAGAUUAAGCAAUAAAGGCAUUGGUCGACCAACAAUUGAAGCCGGAACAGUGCAGGAGGCGAUGCUGAGGGUGUUGGCAACAGUGGGGUGGACGUGGACAUGGCCAUCCUGCACUCAUGUAGUCAUGUCUACUGAUAUUGUGGGUUGAAUCAGGACAACGAUUGCUAGCACCAGAGGCUGUUCACAAGUCUUUGGUACUUCCAAAAGAUGGCAAGGAUCAGAAGGAGCUGCUCCAUUUAUUGGCUAAAAUUGCAAAAAGAAUACAGGUUGCAAGAACAUAUGCUGAAAAUUGGAUAUCACAGUGUGGUGGCCUGGUGGGUGGAUGAUUGCAUGGCACGGAAAAAGUGGAAAAUGACUCGGUUACUGACUUCUUCACAUACUUAAGACACAUGGUCCUCUAUGAAGCUGAACUGGUGAUAAAAGGAAUUUUGUUGGUGUAAGAUGAACUGUGUUUUUUCUUAGAAACGAUUCAGCCACCACUGUUUCCCAAGGAGGAGAGGUCAAGAAUGCUAAGAAGUAGCCACUGCCUAAGAAGGCUGAGAUCAGCAGCGGCGGCUCGGAAAAGGACUCUAAGUCCAAACAGGUGGUUAAGGUUCAAACAAAGAAGGGUCAUGAUGCCAGGACAGUUAAACUACUGAAACUAUUUGUAACUUUCAUAAUAUUCACACUGAAACAUCUUCAGUUGGUGUUCAAUCAUAUAACUUAAUAAUGUGAUUUUGGUUAUAAUGACCUUUAGGAGGA